This 253-nucleotide ribosomal RNA is filed under the name uncultured bacterium. RNAcentral describes it as "partial 16S ribosomal RNA". It matches the Rfam family "Bacterial small subunit ribosomal RNA", at positions 524 to 776 of the family's 1533-position model. The record is from RNAcentral.
GACGAACCGUGCGAACGUUGUUCGGAAUCACUGGGCUUAAAGGGUGCGUAGGCGGGUUGUCCAGUCUGGGGUGAAAUCCCACGGCUCAACCGUGGAACUGCCUCAGAUACUGACGACCUCGAGGGUGGUAGGGGCGAGCGGAACUGUGGGUGGAGCGGUGAAAUGCGUUGAUAUCCACAGGAACUCCGAUGGCGAAGGCGGCUCGCUGGACCUCUUCUGACGCUGAGGCACGAAAGCUAGGGGAGCAAACGGG